This 240-nucleotide unclassified non-coding RNA is filed under the name soil metagenome. RNAcentral describes it as "partial contains 5.8S ribosomal RNA, internal transcribed spacer 2, and large subunit ribosomal RNA". The record is from RNAcentral.
AACAUCGCGCACCUGCGGGAACCUGCGGAAGGAUCAUUACAGAGUUGCAAAACUCCCUAAACCAUUGUGAACGUUACCUAAACCGUUGCUUCGGCGGGCGGCCCGGGUCCUUCCCGGCGCCCAUCGGCCCUCGCGGGCGCCCGCCGGAGGUAAACCAAACUAUUGCAUUGUAUGGCCUCUCUGAGUCUUCUGUACUGAAUAAGUCAAAACUUUUAGCAACGGAUCUCAGAUCGGAAGAGC